GACGAACGCUGGCGGCGCGCUUAACACAUGCAAGUCGAGCGAGAACCAGCCCUUCGGGGCUGGGGACAGCGGCGAACGGGUGAGUAACACGUGGGUAAUCUGCCCUCGGCACCGGGAUAGCCCGGGGAAACCCGGAUUAAUACCGGAUGGCCUUUCGAGCCCUCGGGCUUGAGAGAAAAGGUAGCUUUGGCCUCUGGCCGAGGAUGAGCCCGCGGCCGAUUAGCUUGUUGGUGAGGUAAUGGCCCACCAAGGCGACGAUCGGUAGCUGGUCUGAGAGGACGAUCAGCCACACUGGGACUGAGACACGGCCCAGACUCCUACGGGAGGCAGCAGUGGGGAAUCUUGCGCAAUGGGCGAAAGCCUGACGCAGCGACGCCGUGUGCGGGAAGAAGGCCUCC
This 398-nucleotide ribosomal RNA is filed under the name uncultured bacterium. Its description in RNAcentral is "bacterial SSU rRNA". It matches the Rfam family "Bacterial small subunit ribosomal RNA", at positions 28 to 419 of the family's 1533-position model. The record is from RNAcentral.